Rhododendron vialii is the source of this 4770-nucleotide RNA transcript. RefSeq lists it as uncharacterized. The transcript has 9 exons. NCBI's taxonomy places the organism in Eukaryota, Viridiplantae, Streptophyta, Magnoliopsida, Ericales, Ericaceae. The record is from RefSeq and is a predicted model, not a curated record.
UAACGUAUAAUAACCAUACUUUUCGAAAUUCUUGCAGUGGCGCUGCCAGCACUCGUUCCCCUCCAUCCUUGCUUGCAGUUGAUAGAAAAAGAAAAACUCCACGUCCAACUCAAGAAUCGGUACAUCCAGAAGCCGUAAAACUAGGGUUUCAAGCGGGUUUUGUAGCAACGGAUCGAAUUUUAACUGAAAUUCUGAGGCAGCAGGAUGAGCUGGAGAUGGCUUAUGGUGUUGAAAUUCGUUUGGACACUCUCUAUCUUGCUUGUGACAUUACCAUAAGACAUUCCAACGUUUUAUCUGCAAAUGAAGAAGUGGGUUCUAACAAUUUUGAGGAUUUGCUCCAAAAAAAGGCAUUCGGGUUGGUGAAGAAUGCCUGUUUGAGAUUGAGGCGUGACCUCGACACUGAUGCAGAGGAGAAUGCUUUGGAUAUUGAUGAAUACUUGUUGUGUCGAGCGCUUGUUGAAUUGGAGGAAAUUAAGAAAGAGAAGGUUCAUGGAAAACGAUUUUGGAUUCCUUGUUUGAAAAAGGAAUAUCAAGAUUUGAUGGACAAGUGGGAUAGGUUUAUUAGGAAGUCAAAACCAAUAGUAAAGUGGAGGAAUAGGUGCAAUAGGAGAGGUGAAAAGCUACAAAUGUUAGAACAACUGCGCCAAGGGCUGGUUUCUUUUAUGCAGGAGGCUGAAGCGGACAAGAAGACAUAAAUGAAUCCCAUUUUUGGGAUGGCUGAGCUUUUUAGUUCUCUUUUAACUGUGUUGCUUCUAGCACACGAGAAUCACAAACAAAACCUUGCUGUUACACCACGUUUAAUUGCAAAGGUGUAAAAUAACUUGCAGUUUUUUGGUGGUUUGCCUGGUGUUAUGAAAUGCUCUUUGGGCAUUUUUUCAUUCUUAAUGACAUUUCUUUUUGGGGGAUGGUUGCUGGUGCAGGAAGCAAGCCCCUUGACUGGGUUUCCAGCUUCCUGGCUCCUUUGCGGCUCAAAACCUUUGUUGGAGGACCUGGAAUCAAGAUUGGCUGAGAGGUUAAUUUGACAAGUGCAUGUUAGAUUUGAUUAGCCGGGCCUUGUUGAGACAGAAGUCUGGACCUGGACCUGGACCUGGACCUUUAGGCUCACUUCUCUUCCUAUAUGGCUCUGGUAGAGGAAGGACGGAGCAUGCAAAAGCUCUUGCGAAACAACUUUUCGAUGAUGACAAAUUGCUAACUGAAGUUGACAUGUCAGAUUAUAGGGAUUCAGAUUCUCUCUCAUGCCUGUUUGGUGCCUUCCCUAGGUUUUCAUCUGCCAGUUCGUUUUGUUUUUAGCUUGUUACUCAAUUUUUUUGGUCCCUGAUAAUAAUGGUUUUGUAACGUUUACCUGAGCAUAUUUUUUUCUUCUGGUCCAAUAGUGGCGAAGAAUGUGGUGCUGGAGAAUUACUUACAGAGGUUGUGAAGAAGAGGCCUUUUGGUGUUAUCUUGUUGGACAACGUUGAUAUGUCCCAUCCUGCUGUCACAAGAACUUCUGAUCAAAAUUUUAAGUCAUGGAAGAGUAUUAGAUGGCUUAGGAAAUAUUGUGUAUUUCACGAAUACAUUGAUUGUCAUGACAUCAAAUGUUGUAGAUUACAUGUUCGAUCAGUGGGGCUGCAGAUGUUGGUCUCAAAACGCCCCCAUGAAAGACAAGUUCUGUCAUGAUUCACCAUAUCCUGAACAUCGAUGUGCCUAUCUCUCUCUUUUGACGGAGGCAAAAAAAUAUGUCAAACCUGAGUUGUUUGAGAAACUGGAUGAAGUGAUGGUUUUUGAAGCCCUCUCCUACGAACAAAAUAGGGCUGUUGGUAGGCUCCAGCCGAGGGACAUUGCCAGCUCCAUCGCAGGAAGAAGACUGAUCUUAUACCCAUCUGAGACUGCAUUGUGUGAGAUUGUUGUGAGGGAGUCAGUUUGGCCAUAUGUAUGUUUAUAUUCUCAAUUUAAUGACUAUUAAAUCUUUACAUGCUGACUUGUGUACUGAACAUUCAUUUCACAAUCCAGAAUAAGGUUUGGGAUCCGUGGGCCGCAGUGAUCUUGAAUUUUGAGGUAUUUAAGUGUAGUAAUGGGUCAUGUGUGUAGGUUAUUCGCUUAAUUAUAGACAUAUAGUCUUCUUGGUAGGGUCGAAAUGGCUGGAAGGAAGGGAUGGUUAUGUGAUGAAUUGGAUUUCCUUAGCCGUUUAGGGAAGAGAGUGGAAAGGAGAGGAAAAGAGAGAAGACUUCGAUCUGAGCCUUUCGGAUUUCUUUCCUUGGGGGAAUUUGAGGAAAGGAACUGGGUUUAAAUGAAUUCUUUCAAUAAGUACUUGACCUCUUGACUCCUGCCUUCCCUUCCAUUCUGUUAUCUUUUCAAAGAACAACGUUUUGUCAGCGGUUAGGCAUUUGAUUGACUGUUAUGGCCUUCCUCUGAUUUGUGUAGGCUUGAUUGUUCUGGCCAAGCACCGUCAGGUUGAUCCAAAUUUAGAGGAUGUAAGUUCAGUUAGAACCACAGAGAUCAGGCUCAACUUAGCGUUUAGUUUAUCGAUCUGUUGUUACUUGUUAGGUCAAAGUAACAUCAACGAUAUGUUUUACUUAUACCGUGGCUAUUUUCCUGAAGGCCUAGAGGGUUUAGCAUGAAUAUUUUCAUGGGGAAGAGCUGUAAUAGAAACAUUCAAGGUGCAACUUUUUAACUUCACUUUGAGAACCUCUAUCAACCGCCAUGAUAUAUUAUCAUCUGCUCAGUACCAGAACUUUCAUAAAAGAUUCUGAAUUGUGGAACAUUACACUUUUUACAAAUUUUUUGAAAUGCUCACUUAGUGGAAUCUGUGCAGGGCCCAAAUCUUUCUGGGAGUUUUGGCCUGGCCAAAUAUAAACGCAACUUUAUCUAAUUGUACAGCAAUUUUGGUACAAAUCUUUGAAAUGUAGGGGCUUUUGUUGCCAGUGAUGGUUGCAUUCUCUUUGAGCUAGGAUCUGCUCAAAAAUGGCAUAAUGUCAACCUCAUUUAGUUUGUGUAAAAGGUGCUCUCACCAUAGUUAUAUCGUCCUAUCACGUGAGGUUUAGAUUUCUUCUAACCUUUGAGUUCUUCUAAGGAUUAUCUUUUUUCAUUUUGCUGAAAAUAUAAAAUCCAAUUCUUUUUUGUUGGCAGCAGAUCUCAGGGUUCAAGGCAUACUUUUAGAUGUUCCAUCUCGUUUAGUAACUAUACAACUUACACGUCUUUCCAUCUUUGUUGGUAGGUAUAUAUCCGCUCUAAACUAUAUUUUGCUUUGGGCUUGUACUGUAACAUAAAUAGUAAGCAAACCCUUUUUCAAGAAGCUUGAUGUGAUGGCCUGAAAUGACCUGUUUUAUGUUCGUGUCAAGGGUGGAAAAGCUAUGAAGGUUUGGCUCGAAGAGAAUGUGGUCCCUGUGCUGUUUGAUAUUCUUGCAAACAAUGAAAUAGAUGAUAUUAGUUGUCUACAUAGAUGCCCUGAUGGGAACAAAGCAGUUGUCCUAUAGAUCCUAGAAGUGUGGCACUUACCUGGAAGAUUUGUUCUUGAUGCAUUUUAAGGAAUCUUUAAAGGAAUUCAGAAUUAUGUACCACAAUGAGAAGGAACGAGUCAAUAAAAUCUACUUAUUGCGUCACGACUUCUUUACUUUGAUGAAUCUGCUAAAUGCGAAGGCUGUGGUAGAUUUCACCUGUGUUGUUGACACUGUGCAGAAGUUGCUUAAUGCAGUUGAUGAUCUCAUAAGCAAUGCAGUCGAUGCCCUUUUUGUACUCAAUGAGUGUAUACUGGAAACUUCAAACUGUUCCAAUGAGGAGACAAAGCCUCUAGAGAAAGAGAGGUCAAGCAAGAGGCCUAUGAAUCAGGUUCAGGGCCUUUGCAUGUUAUUGGCCAAUAGAAUGGUCGGACAAAAUCAGGCAAUUGAUGUUGUAGGCUUGUAGCAGAGGCAUUGCUGAAAUCUAUUCUUCCUGAUGAUCUGUCACAUCGACCUACUAUGUCACUCCUAUUUUUGGGUCUCACUAGUGUUGGUCAGGCUGAUCUUGUAAGAAGUCUUGCUGAGAAUUUUGUCUGUGACGAUGGGACGGACCUACUUAUUGAUGUUGACUUGUCUAAGUACAUAGACUCGGACUCACUUUUUUGACUCCUAUACGGGCCUUUGGAGCUAUUGAUUAGCCAUGGCCAACAUGGUUUUCCACUGUUAGAGCUUGUCCAGUGAGGCCACACAACAUUCUUGUAUUUUCACAAGUGGAGCAGGCACACAUUUCUGUUUUCAGUGCGUUACUUUCAGUUCUUGAUCAAGGUACGAUGUGUGACUUGGAAGGACGUACUGUAGAUUUCAGACGCACUGUUGUUAUCUUUGCCUCGGAUAUGGGGAAUAGCAAGAUUCUUGCACAACUUGUCGGACAUGAUCCAUACGAUUCUUCUAUUGAAGUUAUGCAACAGAAGAAAAAAGGCUUUUGGUCUGAGUUGCUGAACCAGAUAGAUGAGAUUGUAUGUUUCAAUCCUUUUGCUCGUGAGCAACUGAGGAAAGUUGCUAGGUUAUCAAUGAGGGCUGGUCGUCACCUGACAGAUGGUCCGCCUCUUGCAUUAUCCACAUCAAUUUUGCAUUUGUUCAAUACAGCUAGUGAUCCAGUUUUCAAAAGAGUUCCCUGUGCCUUGGAAUAUACAGUCUCAUUUCUCGCCAAGGGCCUCAUCAACUGUGGAAGCAACGCUCACUGAAGUAGUGGGCAUUCGCGUCUCUGUCAAUCAUUGGGUAACUAAUUGAAAAUGAAAGUAAUGUGACAUGAAUAUGACAUGUUUUUUAAAGUUCGAAUUGGAGGUCCUUUUCUUUU